CAGUUAGAUCAAUCAUGACCAUGAUGAUUGUCCAAAAGAUGAAAGCUGUAACAUUGGAGUAGCAGAGGCAGACUUUACCAUUAGGCAAGCAGUUCCUUCUGCUCUGUCUCCAGCUCCUCGUCUCGUCUUGUCAGCCCUGCUUCCCUGCCCUGGAUCCCCGCUCUUCCCAGCUUCCACCCCAAUCCUCAGCUCCUUGUUCCCAGCUUCCAGCUCAAGUCCCAGCCCCAGUUUCCCAACUAGUUGCUCAGGCCCCAGCCCCAGUUACCAGUUACCAGCCCAAGCUUCCCCAGGCCUACAUUCCCUUUCUCCAGCCUUUACAAUAACUACCUUAUUUCUAUCAUA
Molecule: long non-coding RNA, 342 nt
Organism: Thunnus maccoyii (southern bluefin tuna)
Lineage: Eukaryota; Metazoa; Chordata; Actinopteri; Scombriformes; Scombridae
Exons: 2
Source: RefSeq, a predicted model, not a curated record